This is a long non-coding RNA of Mercenaria mercenaria, 328 nucleotides long. RefSeq lists it as uncharacterized. The record is from RefSeq and is a predicted model, not a curated record. NCBI's taxonomy places the organism in Eukaryota, Metazoa, Mollusca, Bivalvia, Venerida, Veneridae. The transcript is spliced from 3 exons.
CAGUUAGGAUGUAUUGAAACGUAUACAAGUCCAGUACUGAUACAUACUAUACCUCGUACUACAACAGGGAUACGUCUUUAUCAACAACUUCCUAUCAGUUCACAUGUGUUGCUAUGCAGAAACAAUCAAAUGGAACUGUGUUCCUGAGUUUGAUGCCGACAGACUGUGUAUCAGGGCAAUCCGCUACUGUCAUGCCUACAAAAGGAACACUCCAAGGUGCCACUAUGGUGUUGGAGUCAACAUGGUGCGUAGACACAGACUCGGACUCAAAAUCAACGAACCUGAAAUGGUUGUAUAUCCUACUUCCAUGCCUCUGUCUUCUGAUCAC